UUAAAUUUGUAAGGGCGUAUGGUGGAUGCCUUGGCAUUAGAAGCUGAUGAAGGACGUGACUAACUACGAUAUGCUUCGGGGAGAUGUACGUAAUCUUUGAUCCGGAGAUUUCCGAAUGGGGGAACCCACUAGUGGUAAUGCACUAGUAUCGCAUAAUGAAUAUAUAGUUAUGCAGAAAGCAACCCAGUGAACUGAAACAUCUUAGUAACUGGAGGAACAGAAAGAAAAAUCGAUUUCCUUAGUAGUGGCGAGCGAAACGGAAAGAGCCCAAACCGACUUUAGAGUCGGGGUUGUAGGACCUCUCUAUAAGAGUUACAAAUUCAUAACAUAGUUGAACUUUUCUGGAAAGUUAGGCGAAACAAGGUGACAGUCCUGUAAACGAAAUGUUAUGAACUCUUUGAGGUAUCCUGAGUACAACGAGACACGAGAAAUCUUGUUGGAAUCUGCGGGGACCAUCCCGUAAGGCUAAAUACUCUCUAAUGACCGAUAGUGAACAAGUACCGUGAGGGAAAGGUGAAAAGAACCCCGGGAGGGGAGUGAAAUAGAAACUGAAACCGUAUGCUUACAAAAAGUUCGAGCACAUUAAUGUGUGAGAGCGUGCCUUUUGCAGAAUGAACCGGCGAGUUAUUGUAUUAUGCAAGGUUAAGUCGAACAGAUGGAGCCGAAGCGAAAGCGAGUCUGAAUAGGGCGCUUAAGUAUGAUGCAAUAGACCCGAAACCGAGUGAUCUAGCCAUGAGCAGGUUGAAGUUGGGGUAAGACCCAAUGGAGGACCGAACCGAUAUGCCCGGAAACGCGUACGGAUGACUUGUGGUUAGCGGAGAAAUUCCAAACGAACUCGGAGAUAGCUGGUUCUCCCCGAAAUAGGUUUAGGCCUAGCCUUGAUUGAAUCUGCCCGGAGGUAGAGCACUGAAUGUGCGAUGGCGUCGUCUAGAUGUACUGAGUACAAUCAAACUCCGAAUGCUGGGUAGUACUAAUCAGGAGUCACUGUAUGGGUGAUAACGUCCAUACGGGAGAGGAAAAGAAUCCGGAUCGCCAGCUAAGGUCCCAAAAUUUGUGUUAAGUGGGAAAGGAUGUAGAGUUGUCAAAACAGCUAGGAGGUUGGCUUAGAAGCAGCCACCCUUUAAAGAGUGCGUAAUAGCUCACUAGUCGAGUGACACUGCGCCGAAGAUGUACCGGGGCUAAACACAAUACCGAAGCUGCGGACUUGCAUGUAAGUGCAAGUGGUAGGGGAGCGUUCUAAGUGCUGAGAAGGUAGACCGUAAGGACUGCUGGAGCGCUUAGAAGUGAGAAUGCCGGUGUGAGUAACGAAAAUUGGGUGAGAAUCCCAUUCACCGUUUGACUAAGGGUUCCUGGGUAAAGUUCGUCUUCCCAGGGUAAGUCAGGACCUAAGAUGAGGCUGAAAAGCGUAGUCGAUGGACAACAGGUUGAUAUUCCUGUACCACCUAUAUGACUGAAGGAGUGACGGAGAAAGCUAGUGAGAGCCAGUUAAUGGAUUCUGGUCUAAGUGCGUAGGCUAGUAUGUUGGCAAAUCCGCAAUACUAUAACAGCUGAAACAUGAUGGGGAAGAGAGUCUUUGGACAAUCGAACUUUCAUGAUGCUAUGCUUCCAAGAAAAGCUUCUAGGGUUAAUCGUAUAGGUGCCUGUACCGACAACCGACACAGGUGGUCAAGGAGAGUAUCCUAAGGUGAGCGAGAGAACUAUGGUUAAGGAACUCGGCAAAAUGACCCCGUAACUUCGGGAGAAGGGGUGGUCUAGCGAUAGACCCGCAGUGAAUAGGCCCAGGCAACUGUUUACCAAAAACACAGGUCUCUGCUAACACGUAAGUGGAUGUAUAGGGGCUGACGCCUGCCCAGUGCUGGAAGGUUAAAGAGAUUAGUUAGUAUGACGUAAGUCGAUAAUACGAAGCUUUGAACUGAAGCCCCAGUGAACGGCGGCCGUAACUAUAACGGUCCUAAGGUAGCGAAAUUCCUUGUCAGGUAAGUUCUGACCCGC
Molecule: ribosomal RNA, 1992 nt
Filed under: human gut metagenome
Description: bacterial LSU rRNA
Rfam family: Bacterial large subunit ribosomal RNA
Source: RNAcentral